AACCCGGCCGGAGUAGCUCUGAGCGCCGGCUGUGAGGAAGGAGGUUCUGGGCAAGCUAUAGCCAUGGCUGUGGCUGUAGCCAUGGCGGGAGCCUUAAUCGGGUCGGAGCCAGGCCCCGCGGAAGAACUUGCCAAACUCGAGUACCUGUCUUUGGUGUCAAAGGUUUGCACUGAGCUGGACAAUCACUUGGGGAUCAACGACAAGGACCUUGCUGAAUUUGUGAUCAGUCUUGCUGAGAAAAAUACCACCUUUGAUACUUUUAAGGCUUCUCUCGUCAAAAAUGGUGCAGAAUUUACGGAUUCUCUUAUUAGUAACUUGCUGCGUCUCAUACAAACCAUGCGGCCUCCAGCGAAGCCUUCCACUAGCAAAGAUCCAGUUGUUAAACCUAAAACAGAAAAAGAAAAGCUGAAGGAACUCUUCCCAGUCCUUUGCCAACCGGACAACCCUUCUGUUCGGACCAUGUUGGAUGAAGAUGAUGUGAAAGUUGCUGUGGAUGUCCUGAAAGAACUGGAAGCUUUAAUGCCCAGCGCAGCAGGCCAGGAGAAGCAAAGAGAUGCUGAACACCGGGACAGGACAAAGAAGAAGAAGCGGAGUCGAAGCCGAGAUCGAAACCGAGAUCGAGACAGAGAUAGGGAACGAAACCGAGAUAGAGACCACAAGCGGAGACACCGAUCCCGCUCUCGAUCACGUUCCAGGACCCGGGAGAGGAAUAAAGUGAAGUCUAGAUAUCGGUCCAGGAGCAGGAGUCAGAGUCCCCCCAAAGACCGGAAGGACCGGGACAAAUAUGGAGAGCGGAAUCUGGAUAGAUGGCGGGAUAAGCAUGUGGACCGCCCUCCUCCAGAAGAGCCCACCAUUGGUGACAUUUAUAAUGGCAAAGUUACCAGCAUCAUGCAGUUUGGUUGCUUUGUGCAGCUGGAAGGACUAAGGAAGCGGUGGGAAGGCCUGGUGCACAUCUCUGAGCUCCGGCGGGAGGGUCGUGUGGCCAAUGUAGCUGAUGUCGUGAGCAAAGGCCAGAGGGUCAAAGUCAAAGUGCUGUCCUUCACUGGGACCAAGACCAGCCUGAGCAUGAAGGAUGUGGAUCAAGAGACUGGAGAAGAUCUAAACCCAAAUAGACGGCGAAAUCUUGUCGGGGAGACCAAUGAGGAGACCUCAAUGCGGAAUCCUGAUAGACCCACUCACUUGUCCCUUGUCAGUGCUCCUGAAGUAGAGGACGACUCACUGGAACGCAAGCGCCUCACCCGAAUCUCUGACCCAGAGAAGUGGGAGAUCAAACAGAUGAUUGCUGCCAAUGUCCUUUCCAAAGAAGAAUUUCCAGACUUUGAUGAAGAGACUGGCAUUCUCCCUAAGGUGGAUGAUGAAGAAGAUGAGGACCUUGAGAUUGAAUUGGUUGAGGAAGAGCCUCCAUUCCUGAGAGGGCACACUAAGCAAAGCAUGGACAUGAGCCCCAUUAAAAUUGUCAAGAACCCAGACGGCUCCCUCUCCCAAGCAGCAAUGAUGCAGAGUGCCUUGGCCAAAGAAAGGCGGGAACUCAAACAGGCCCAGCGGGAAGCUGAGAUGGAUUCUAUUCCCAUGGGACUCAACAAACACUGGGUUGACCCUCUGCCUGAUGCGGAAGGCAGACAGAUUGCUGCCAACAUGAGGGGUAUUGGGAUGAUGCCCAAUGAUAUUCCUGAGUGGAAGAAGCAUGCCUUUGGGGGCAACAAAGCCUCUUACGGAAAAAAGACCCAGAUGUCAAUCCUUGAGCAGAGGGAGAGCCUGCCCAUCUACAAACUGAAGGAGCAAUUGGUCCAGGCCGUCCAUGACAAUCAGAUCCUGAUUGUCAUUGGUGAGACAGGAUCUGGAAAGACAACACAGAUCACCCAGUACCUGGCGGAGGCAGGCUACACUUCCAGGGGCAAGAUUGGGUGUACCCAGCCCAGAAGAGUGGCAGCUAUGUCGGUGGCCAAAAGAGUGUCAGAGGAGUUUGGUUGUUGCUUAGGCCAAGAGGUGGGCUACACCAUUCGAUUUGAGGACUGCACUAGCCCUGAAACAGUCAUCAAGUACAUGACAGAUGGGAUGUUGCUUAGAGAGUGCUUGAUUGACCCUGACCUCACUCAGUACGCGAUCAUCAUGUUGGACGAGGCACAUGAGAGGACAAUUCACACUGAUGUGCUCUUUGGAUUGUUGAAAAAGACAGUUCAGAAACGGCAGGACAUGAAGCUGAUUGUCACCUCAGCCACCUUGGAUGCAGUGAAGUUUUCUCAAUACUUCUAUGAAGCUCCCAUUUUCACCAUCCCAGGUCGAACAUAUCCAGUGGAAAUACUGUACACAAAGGAACCUGAGACAGAUUAUCUGGAUGCCAGCCUGAUUACUGUUAUGCAGAUUCAUUUAACAGAACCACCAGGUGAUAUCCUGGUCUUCCUGACUGGUCAGGAAGAAAUUGAUACUGCUUGUGAGAUCCUGUAUGAAAGAAUGAAAUCCCUGGGACCUGAUGUUCCAGAGUUAAUUAUCCUCCCAGUGUACUCUGCUCUUCCCAGUGAGAUGCAGACCCGAAUCUUUGACCCAGCUCCACCAGGCAGCAGAAAGGUUGUGAUUGCCACCAAUAUCGCAGAGACAUCGCUGACUAUUGAUGGUAUCUACUAUGUGGUGGACCCAGGAUUCGUGAAACAGAAAGUUUACAAUUCCAAGACAGGGAUUGACCAGCUCGUGGUGACGCCUAUUUCUCAGGCUCAGGCAAAGCAACGAGCUGGCAGAGCUGGGAGAACAGGCCCAGGGAAGUGUUACAGGUUGUACACAGAACGUGCCUACCGAGAUGAAAUGCUGACCACCAACGUGCCGGAAAUCCAGAGAACCAACUUAGCAAGCACAGUGCUGUCACUCAAGGCCAUGGGUAUCAAUGAUCUGCUGUCCUUUGAUUUCAUGGAUGCCCCACCUAUGGAAACUUUGAUCACAGCCAUGGAGCAGCUGUACACACUGGGGGCCCUGGAUGACGAGGGCCUGCUCACUCGCUUGGGCCGCCGGAUGGCAGAGUUCCCUCUGGAGCCAAUGCUAUGCAAAAUGCUCAUCAUGUCUGUGCAUCUGGGCUGCAGUGAGGAAAUGCUGACCAUUGUAUCCAUGCUGUCUGUGCAGAACGUCUUCUAUAGGCCCAAGGAUAAACAAGCCCUUGCAGAUCAGAAGAAGGCCAAAUUCCACCAGACUGAAGGGGACCACCUCACCCUGCUAGCUGUGUACAACUCCUGGAAGAACAACAAGUUCUCCAACCCAUGGUGCUAUGAGAACUUUAUCCAGGCUCGUUCCCUGCGCCGGGCCCAGGACAUUCGCAAGCAGAUGUUAGGCAUAAUGGACAGACACAAGCUGGAUGUUGUUUCCUGUGGCAAGUCCACAGUCCGAGUGCAGAAGGCCAUCUGCAGUGGGUUCUUCCGUAAUGCUGCCAAGAAAGACCCGCAGGAGGGUUACCGGACACUGAUCGACCAGCAGGUGGUCUAUAUCCAUCCUUCCAGUGCCCUCUUCAACAGACAGCCAGAAUGGGUGGUGUACCAUGAGCUGGUGCUCACCACCAAGGAAUACAUGCGUGAAGUUACCACCAUCGACCCUCGGUGGCUUGUGGAGUUUGCCCCAGCCUUCUUCAAGGUCUCAGACCCAACUAAGCUAAGCAAACAGAAGAAGCAACAGCGUCUUGAACCCUUGUACAACCGCUAUGAGGAACCCAAUGCCUGGAGAAUAUCUCGAGCUUUCCGACGGCGCUGAAAGGCAAGAUUGUUCCUUUGCCUCUCCAGCAGCAGUAGCCAGGGCUUGGACUUAUCGAUGACAGGCUGGUCCUGAGGAUACAGCUGUCCCGUGACUGACUGUCUUAACUGAGCAUUUUCUCAACUCGACUCUCAUUUCUUCCCUGCUGGUAAAAUAGAAACAGGGAUUUAAACCUGGCUUUGGCAAGAGCCUGCAGCCUCCAUCACCCCAAGUCCUUGGGCCCAGUUGGGAGCUCAUAUCUAACACAGAGACACAUUGCAUCAACUUCAAGAAAGGGACAAUUUGUGCAGCUCCAGGAUGGGAAGGUGGAGUGGGUGAGCAUCUUGUGCAGGGACAUGAGAUGGGUUCCCACUGUGCUGCCCAGGCUGCUCUCCAAUCCCUGGCGUCAAGCAAUCCUCCUGCCUCUGCCUCCCAAAGCGCUGGGAUUACAGUUGAGAGCCACUGUCCUCUGCACUGAGGAGGCUCCUUACCUGGCGGAACAUCAGGCAGGUCUUGCCAGGCCAGGUUUCGGAACUUACGGAAAGCUGGUCUGGAUGUAGUGCUUGUAGAGAAGCUUCUGAGAGAUUGGGCACAUCCUGUUACGUUGCUGCUUCUCCUGUCCUUAUGUUAUUAGUAAGUUCUGAAGUGAUGUAAAUGCUAGAACUACUGUAGAACUGUAUGCCAGACACUAAGAGAGACUAUGUAACAUUCCAGGAUAUAAAGGAAUGUAUGUUGUCACUGGGCAGCAAACCACACCCUAAAGACAAUUCAGAAAGAGUCCGAGGGAGAGGAAUAUAGGCCAGGCAAUCUGCUGGCUGCAGAUCCCUGCCCCUUCAUUAAGCUGAGUGCCUCCUGAUUCUGUCUGAGUAUUCGCCUUUGUAAGCCCAGGCCAGUAAUCAAGGGGCAGGGCAUUGUUGUGUGUUAACCUUGAAGGCCUUCUGGGGAGAGACAGUACAGGGACCUCAAAUGAAACCAAAGGGGAAACGGGGACUGGGCACCCACCUCCCCAAUCUCGUUUUGUUUUUGUUUUUGUUAAGACAGGAUCUUGCCAUCUUGCCUAGGCUGGCAUCAAACUCCUGAGCUCAAGUGAUCUUCCUGCCUCAGCCUCCUGAGUAGCUGGGACUACAGGUGCAUGCCACCACACCUGGCUCCCAGUCCUAAUUCCAGCCUAAAUUUUCCCCAUUCAGAAACACUCCUGGAUAUAGUGGCCCAGCCUGUCCUGACUGAGUGCCCAGCACUGACAAUGUUGACACCUGGGGAGGGAGGGUUGGGUUUCAAGCUGAGGUUGAAAAGGGAUGUUGAAUGGGCUAAGGAUAAGAGACAGCAGGGUUCGUUAUCUUUUCUGGCUCAGGUGGAGGAAAAAGAAGGAUCCCCAUUCUGUGGGUGUUCCUUGACCAUCUCUCUACGCUAGAGCUGAGGUCACUUCUCUGCUAUGACAACAUAGCUGGGUUCUGACCUUUUGACCAUCAGGAAAGCAAUGUCAGCAGCUGAGCUGAGCCUGCUCUGAGGGAGAAGGGGGGGGUCCUGUCCAGAUGCAGAAGGGGAGCUUGCCUGCUGCUCUCACACAAUGGAGCCCUUGUUUCUCUUCCUUGAACCAGUAUUUCCCAAGAUUGAGUGACAGCCCAGGAGAGGAUGUGGGUCUCAUGCAGAGAGCUGGGAUCUUCUUGGCCAUUAAAGUAUAUUGUUCACCCCCACCCCGCGAGAACCAAGCUCAGGAGUUGCCUGCCUCUGCACACAUGCUGAGUGUGCUGUUUGUGUAUAUGGCAGGACCGUCCCUAUGGGGCAUGUGUGAGCUCCGCAGCUGGGUCAGGCUCCUCGGUCCAGGUUUACUUCAUCCCGCCUGGACGUGAUUUGGCUUUGACUGUCUCUCCUGCAGCCCAAAGCACUUCCUCCCUGUGGUUGCUGUAGCUGUCUCAUUGGAGCAGUGCCUCUCCAAGUUUGAGGAUUUGAACAAAGAACUGGGACUGGUGACUUGUUAAUGAACAGUUCAGAGGGCAGAGGGCCAUCAUCUCAGCUUGUGGAGACCUUUCUUUCCCUGGAUGCUGCUUCUCAGCUAACUCCCUCUCUCUUCGUGUGUGUACUCGGCCUUCAGGGUUUCCACCGAUUUUUACACCUUCUUCCCACCACGAUAGCUUGGCUUUAAUGUGGAAUUAAAUUAUAUAUUUUUAAAA
Molecule: RNA transcript, 5876 nt
Organism: Homo sapiens (human)
Lineage: Eukaryota; Metazoa; Chordata; Mammalia; Primates; Hominidae
Gene: DHX8
Gene name: DEAH-box helicase 8
Exons: 24
Source: RefSeq, marked reviewed